AACGAACGCUGGCGGCGUGCCUAAUACAUGCAAGUCGAGCGAGCGGAACUAACAGAUUUACUUCGGUAAUGACGUUAGGAAAGCGAGCGGCGGAUGGGUGAGUAACACGUGGGGAACCUGCCCCAUAUUCUGGGAUACCACUUGGAAACAGGUGCUAAUACCGGAUAAGAAAGCACAUCGCAUGAUCACCUUUUAAAAGGCGGCGUAAGCUGUCGCUAUGGGAUGGCCCCGCGGUGCAUUAGCUAGUUGGUAAGCUAAAGGCUUACCAAGGCGAUGAUGCAUAGCCGAGUCGAGGGCCUGAUCGGCCAGCUUGGCAGUGAGACACGGCAGCAACACCUACGGGAGGCAGCAGUCGAGAAUCUUCCGCGAGGGACGAAAGUGUGAUGGAGCACAGCCGCGUGAAUGAAGAAGCUUUUAGGAUCGUAAAGCUAUGUUGUUGGUAAGGAAGGAUAGAGGUAGUAACUGGCAUUUAUUUGACGGUAAUCAACCAGUAAGUCACGGCUAACUACGUG
RNAcentral lists this ribosomal RNA (512 nucleotides) under uncultured bacterium. RNAcentral's name for it is "partial 16S ribosomal RNA". It matches the Rfam family "Bacterial small subunit ribosomal RNA", at positions 29 to 507 of the family's 1533-position model. The record is from RNAcentral.